This 301-nucleotide ribosomal RNA is filed under the name uncultured bacterium. Its description in RNAcentral is "partial 16S ribosomal RNA". It matches the Rfam family "Bacterial small subunit ribosomal RNA", at positions 509 to 807 of the family's 1533-position model. The record is from RNAcentral.
CAGCCGCCGCGGGAAUACGUAGGUGGCGAGCGUUGUCCGGAAUUAUUGGGCGUAAAGGGAGCGCAGGCGGACAUAUAAGUCCAUCUUAAAAGUGCGGGGCUCAACCCCGUGAGGGGAUGGAAACUGGGAAGCUCAGAGUAUCGGAGAGGAAAGCGGAAUUCCUAGUGUAGCGGUGAAAUGCGUAGAUAUUAGGAGGAACACCAGUGGCGAAAGCGGCUUUCUGGACGAAAACUGACGCUGAGGCGCGAAAGCCAGGGGAGCGAACGGGAUUAGAUACCCCAGUAGUCCCUGUCUCUUAUAC